This 56-nucleotide transfer RNA is filed under the name Bos taurus (domestic cattle). It matches the Rfam family "tRNA", at positions 8 to 63 of the family's 71-position model. Rfam says of the family: Transfer RNA (tRNA) molecules are approximately 80 nucleotides in length. RNAcentral also lists the same sequence under 2 other names. The record is from Rfam by way of RNAcentral. Lineage: Eukaryota; Metazoa; Chordata; Mammalia; Artiodactyla; Bovidae.
UGGCUCAGUGGUAAAGAUUCUGCCUGCAAUGCAGAAGACUCAGGUUCAAUCCCUGG